GAUGAACGCUGGCGGCGUGCCUAAUACAUGCCAGUCGAGCGAACGGACGAGAAGCUUGCUUCUCUGAUGUUAGCGGCGGACGGGUGAGUAACACGUGGAUAACCUACCUAUAGGACUGGGAUAACUUCGGGAAACCGUAGCUAAUACCGGAUAAUAUUUUGAACCGCAUGGUUCAAAAGUGAAAGACGGUCUUGCUGUCACUUAUAGAUGGAUCCGCGCUGCAUUAGCUAGUUGGUAAGGUAACGGCUUACCAAGGCAACGAUGCAUAGCCGACCUGAGAGGGGGAUCGGCCCCCCUGGAACUGAAACACGGCCCAGACUCCUACGGGAGGCAGAAGUAGGGAAUCUUCCGCAAUGGGCGAAAGCCUGACGGAGCAACGCCGCGUGAGUGAGGAAGGUCUUCGGAUCGUAAAACCCUGUUAUUAGGGAAGAACAUAUGUGUAAGUAACUGUGCACAUCUGGACGGUACCUAAGCAGAAAGCCACGGCAAACUACGG
This 496-nucleotide ribosomal RNA is filed under the name uncultured bacterium. Its description in RNAcentral is "partial 16S ribosomal RNA". It matches the Rfam family "Bacterial small subunit ribosomal RNA", at positions 28 to 506 of the family's 1533-position model. The record is from RNAcentral.